This 233-nucleotide unclassified non-coding RNA is filed under the name uncultured fungus. RNAcentral's name for it is "sequence contains ITS1". The record is from RNAcentral. Lineage: Eukaryota; Fungi.
GUAUUGUAUUGCGUUAAACGCUGCAUACAUUCCAUAAGACUUCAUUACAGUGUGUGUGUAAAGACAUAGAACCACAGCAGGGGGACAGAGCCCCCAGGCCACAGAACUACGGAGGGUGCACGGGUGUGAGUGGAUGUGUGAACAGAGCGUGCACAUAUGCCCCCAUUCGAGGGCCAGCAACAACUCAUGUUGACAAUUCGGUAAUGAUCCUUCCGCAGGUUCACCUACGGAAA